RNAcentral lists this long non-coding RNA (497 nucleotides) under Nicotiana benthamiana. RNAcentral describes it as "long non-coding RNA (NBEN_LNC020934)". The record is from RNAcentral. Lineage: Eukaryota; Viridiplantae; Streptophyta; Magnoliopsida; Solanales; Solanaceae.
AAGAAUUGGGCCUGGUUGAAGGCUCCCUAUAGGAUAAUUUAUUAUUUUAUUUUUUUCAUUAUUGUAUUUUAGCUACCUUGGUUUGUAAUAAUUUAUAAUGAAUGAUCGGGGUAAUAGCGAAAUUGGGUGGGAUUAUGCAUGCUUAGUUUAAGUAACGGGUAGAGAACAUGUAUCUAGGACUAUAGUUACCUAUUUGUGCAAUAGAAACCAUGUAUAGGACAUGCAUCUUACAUAUAGAUAUCCUGUUUUAGGUCCUUUACUUUCAGAUUGUUAUUAUACUCAUUUUGUAAUCAGGAUUAGUAAUCAACAAACAACUGUUAUAAAAAAUUACUACUGCAUUUAGAGACCAUAUUUUAGGAGCUUUAUGUGCAUUAGACAUCAUGUUACUUAGGAUUUUUUAUUUGAGUUGCAAUUGCUGAACGCCUCACCAGUUAUUUAAUUUAAUGACACAAGUUUGGUUAACCGCGUCUUCUCUUUAAAACUAGAAUUAAUAUUCA